Gordionus sp. m RMFG-2023 is the source of this 322-nucleotide long non-coding RNA. RefSeq lists it as uncharacterized. The transcript has 5 exons. The record is from RefSeq and is a predicted model, not a curated record. Lineage: Eukaryota; Metazoa; Nematomorpha; Gordioida; Chordodea; Parachordodidae.
AGAAAAUCAAAAUUUUAAUGAUGAACUUGAUACCAUAAGCAACAAUUUACCACCCACAUCAGAAAAUCAGAAUUUUAAUGAUGAACUUGAUACCAUAAGCAACAAUUUACCACUCACCUCAGAAAUACCUAGAUACUCUAUAAAAAAUUAUGAUAAAAAUAAGCUAAAUACACUUGAUCACUUCAAAUCUCUACCUAGUAAAAGUAUAUCAAGUAUCACAUUGAAGAAGAAUGAUAGUAGUCAACAAAAUAUUAUAGGCUGUAUCAAUUUAGAAUUUAAAGGAAUAUCUCAAUUAAUAUUCACACCAAGGGGUAAAAAAAAU